This is a non-coding RNA of Coffea arabica (coffee), 1341 nucleotides long. NCBI's taxonomy places the organism in Eukaryota, Viridiplantae, Streptophyta, Magnoliopsida, Gentianales, Rubiaceae. The record is from RefSeq and is a predicted model, not a curated record.
UCAGCCCAACAAAAUUUAUUCCCUCUCAGGUCUGGCGUCUUCUUUUUUCCCACUGAAAUCAAGAAACUCACUGCAGCUGCAGAGUGUCCUCUCUGCAAUGGAGCAACAGCCGUCCAAUUCUUCAAAAAUGGAAACGUUUCGCCUUUUUGAUGGCAAUCCCCAACCUGGGUUUGGCUUAAAUUUUCUUGAAUCUCCGGAAAAACCCUUUUCCCCUCUACCUCCUUGCGUUGAAGUCCUCCCCUCUCAGGUAUCAUCAAAUGUGAAGUAUACGGUGGAAAGUGUAGAUAUUGAUGGGAUUACACUGAUUAAGGGAAGGGUGAACACUAAGGAGGUUUACGCCUUUUCUAAUUUGGAUUUAGUGCCAGGGAAAUAUGAAGGAGGGUUGAAAUUAUGGGAAGGUUCGGUGGAUUUAGUGAAAACUCUUCAAUCAGAGAUGCAAGAUGGGAAGUUGUCACUUGCUGGAAAGCGAGUUUUAGAGCUUGGAUGUGGCCAUGGGCUUCCUGGAAUUUUUGCAUGCCUUAUGGGAUCUAGCUCUGUUCACUUCCAGGAUUUUAAUGCUGAGGUCCUGCAAAGUCUCACCAUUCCUAAUGUAAAUGCUAACAUUCAACAGAAGCCAAAGUCCAUAGGUACAGAUAUGACAGAAUGUAACACUAAGACAGAAACUCGUUUCUUUGCGGGUGACUGGAGUGAAGUCCAAAAUAUUCUUCCUUAUGUACGUGGUGAUGACUGUGGAAUCAACUCUGAUCAAGAAGUGGGUAAUGGAGGUGGUUAUGAUGUUAUUCUCAUGGCAGAGACAGUUUAUGCAAUCUACGCUCUUCCUACGCUCUAUCAACUUCUUAAGAAGUGCCUAACUAGUCCUCAUGGAGUUGUGUACAUGGCAGCAAAGAAGCAUUAUUUUGGAGUUGGAGGAGGAUCAAGGAGGUUUCUCUCUAUUGUCGAGAAAGAUGUUUUCUUUGUGUAAAAGAUAAGUACCUUGAUGCAUGGAUUAUACAAAUGGAUCUAGACGGUAUCUUGUGUUUUGGCAUCGACAAUGGUUGCUGAGAUUGCAGACGGGUCCUCUAAUCUUCGAGAAGUGUGGAAAUUUCAUUUUAGGUGAAUUACUGGUUAUACGUGAAGGAAGCUAAUGAUUUUGUUGUCUAAUUGUUUACAGCAACUAGAAAGUUUGAUAUUAAAGCUAAAGUGUCUGCUCAAAUGAUUGCAAGAUGUCUUUUAUCAUCAGAACCUUAACUCUUCAUCUGUGAAGUGCUCUUUGUGGGCAUCUUUUACGUCAAAAUUCACAUUUCUAUUUGAGAGAAUUCUAAUUGAGGCUCAAAUGCAUUUCAUUUUGAUCUUGCCGGUCUA